This is a non-coding RNA of Dipodomys ordii (Ord's kangaroo rat), 64 nucleotides long. Lineage: Eukaryota; Metazoa; Chordata; Mammalia; Rodentia; Heteromyidae. The record is from Rfam.
GGUGGCUCAGUGGUAGAGUGCUUGCCUUGCAUGCAUGAGGCCCUGGGUUCAAUCCUCAGCACCA